CCUACGGGAGGCAGCAGUGGGGAAUAUUGCGCAAUGGGGGAAACCCUGACGCAGCAACGCCGCGUGAGUGAGGAAGGACUUCGGUCUGUAAAGCUCUGUUAAUGAGGAAAAAUGGUAGUUGGUCUAAUAGGCCGAUUAUUUGAUGGUACUCAUAGAGGAAGCACCGGCUAACUUCGUGCCAGCAGCCGCGGUAAUACGAAGGGUGCAAGCGUUGUUCGGAUUUAUUGGGCGUAAAGCGCGCGUAGGCGGACCCGCAAGUCAGAUGUGAAAUCUCGAGGCUCAACCUCGAAACUGCGUCUGAAACUACGGGUCUAGAAUCUCGGAGGGGGAAGGGGAAUUUCGCAUGUAGGGGUAAAAUCCGUAGAUAUGCGAAGGAACACCAGAGGCGAAGGCGCCUUCCUGGACGAGUAUUGACGCUGAGGCGCGAAAGCGUGGGGAUCAAACAGGAUUAGAUACCCCGGUAGUCCACGCUGUAAACGAUGAACACUAGGUAUUGGAGGAUUUGACCCCUUCAGUGCCGUAGCUAACGCGUUAAGUGUUCCGCCUGGGAAGUACGGUCGCAAGACUAAAACUCAAAGGAAUUGACGGCUGAGACGNGCGAGCGACACGAGGAGAG
This 616-nucleotide ribosomal RNA is filed under the name uncultured bacterium. RNAcentral describes it as "bacterial SSU rRNA". It matches the Rfam family "Bacterial small subunit ribosomal RNA", at positions 338 to 943 of the family's 1533-position model. The record is from RNAcentral.